Hippocampus zosterae (dwarf seahorse) is the source of this 1420-nucleotide long non-coding RNA. RefSeq lists it as uncharacterized. Lineage: Eukaryota; Metazoa; Chordata; Actinopteri; Syngnathiformes; Syngnathidae. The record is from RefSeq and is a predicted model, not a curated record. The transcript is spliced from 2 exons.
AUUUAUCUUUCACAUAUAUGCAUUGCAACUGAUCCCACUGAUUGUACGAACUUUAACAAGUAAUUGGUAUUGAAAAAUAUAGUAAUGCACUUUAUGAUUAAACAAGAUUUAUAAAGAAAUCAAGCCAGUGCCUCCUUUGCCUCUUCUGGGCAGUAUUCGGCACACAUGCAUUAUGCCACUGCCGACUCAAGGCCAGCUGUGCCAGCUUCAUGCCGAAUCCGGGCCAGAUACCUAUGCUGACUGGGCCCUUACCACCCAACACUAAAAAAAUGUUUCAAAAAAUGCCUUCCUUCCCAGUUUUUAAAAACGUUGCUACUCAUAAGCAUUUUAUAAAACACGUUUUUUUUAAACACCUUACUGUACAUUUUUCAACUGCACAUGACAUACAUUUUUCACUAAAUGUUUUGCUCCAGACUACAUGUAAACACACUAAGCCACACAAAUAUGCCUAUGAACAUAUAACCAAGUAUAUGAAUGAAGACACAGUGACUUUUUCUUUUUAUUAAUAGUCAUGAAAGCCAUAAAGAUUUUUUUAAUCAAAAAAAGCAUUAAGACUCUUAGUAUAAGAGUCGAAAAUGUGUACAUUAUUUACAAGAGUUCUAGAUACAAUAACUAAACCGCAGAGUGGCUUCUACAGAAAGGAUAAAAAAAUAUGUUAAAAUGUAAACAUUCACACAUGACAUUUAAAAAAUAUAUAUGUACAGUACUGUAUUGGCCCAAAUAUAAGACAAGACAAGUUUUUUGCAUUGAAAUAAGGUCGUCUUAUAUUCGGGGUCGAGACAUUUUACCCAUUUACCACGCUAGAUGGCGCCAGAUAUUGAAGCGAAUGUUGAACUUGACUCCCCAGGCCAAAGCGAACCUCUGUCACGAAGAAUAAAAAUAACGGUAGCACGAAGAAGAAAAACAAAAAAAUAGCGGUGAGAAAGAAAAGAGAAUAAGAUAAGAGAUAACAGAAAAUGGAGAAACGUCGCGGCAAUCUGGAGAAAAGUGGGUCGAAGAUCGGCCAGGUUAACCGGCAGCUGAGAAGUUAUCUAGUACAUUUCAAACAUCAGAAGCCAUUCAUUUACAAAUGUGAUUGCACUUUAGUUUACAUAUUUAAAUGUUCGGAUAUUAAGGUUUGAAUCAGGCAAAAUAACAUGCUUUUUCUCUCAAAUAUAUAGUUAUAAUCAUUUGUUUCAGAUGUAUUGUAAUUAUUUUCUGUAUAAAAAUUCUUUUUUUCAAACUUGAGUCUUGAAAAAGAGGGGUUUGUCUUAUAAUCAGGGCCGUCUUAUAUUCGGGCCAAUACUAUCAUUAGUAAUGGAUGGAGAUGUAAACCAAAUUUAGGUCCAUAGCAGCAUCUACGUACUGUACAGUAUAUACAAACAUGCAUGUGUUUAUGGUAGCCACUGGUUUGAGGGGAACCAACUUAAAAAAAAAAACA